GAUGAACGCUGGCGGCGUGCCUAACACAUGCAAGUCGAGCGAUUCUCUUCGGAGAAGAGCGGCGGACGGGUGAGUAACGCGUGGGUAACCUGCCCUGUACACACGGAUAACAUACCGAAAGGUAUGCUAAUACGAGAUAAUAUACUUUUAUCACAUGGUAGAAGUAUCAAAGCUUUUGCGGUACAGGAUGGACCCGCGUCUGAUUAGCUAGUUGGUAAGGUAACGGCUUACCAAGGCGACGAUCAGUAGCCGACCUGAGAGGGUGAUCGGCCACAUUGGAACUGAGACACGGUCCAAACUCCUACGGGAGGCAGCAGUGGGGAAUAUUGCACAAUGGGCGAAAGCCUGAUGCAGCAACGCCGCGUGAGUGAUGAAGGCCUUGGUCGUAAGCUCUGUCCUCAAGGAAGAUAAUGACGGUACUUGAGGAGGAAGCCCCGGCUAACUACGUGCCAGCGACGCCGACGGUAAGUGAGUAGUACUACGUAG
This 486-nucleotide ribosomal RNA is filed under the name uncultured bacterium. RNAcentral describes it as "bacterial SSU rRNA". It matches the Rfam family "Bacterial small subunit ribosomal RNA", at positions 28 to 530 of the family's 1533-position model. The record is from RNAcentral.